RNAcentral lists this ribosomal RNA (1128 nucleotides) under Acinetobacter baumannii. RNAcentral describes it as "bacterial SSU rRNA". It matches the Rfam family "Bacterial small subunit ribosomal RNA", at positions 48 to 1179 of the family's 1533-position model. The record is from RNAcentral. Lineage: Bacteria; Pseudomonadati; Pseudomonadota; Gammaproteobacteria; Moraxellales; Moraxellaceae.
GCUACCAUGCAGUCGAGCGGGGGAAGGUAGCUUGCUACUGGACCUAGCGGCGGACGGGUGAGUAAUGCUUAGGAAUCUGCCUAUUAGUGGGGGACAACAUCUCGAAAGGGAUGCUAAUACCGCAUACGUCCUACGGGAGAAAGCAGGGGAUCUUCGGACCUUGCGCUAAUAGAUGAGCCUAAGUCGGAUUAGCUAGUUGGUGGGGUAAAGGCCUACCAAGGCGACUAUCUGUAGCGGGUCUGAGAGGAUGAUCCGCCACACUGGGACUGAGACACGGCCCAGACUCCUACGGGAGGCAGCAGUGGGGAAUAUUGGACAAUGGGGGGAACCCUGAUCCAGCCGUGCCGCGUGUGUGAAGAAGGCCUUAUGGUUGUAAAGCACUUUAAGCGAGGAGGAGGCUACUUUAGUUAAUACCUAGAGAUAGUGGACGUUACUCGCAGAAUAAGCACCGGCUAACUCUGUGCCAGCAGCCGCGGUAAUACAGAGGGUGCGAGCGUUAAUCGGAUUUACUGGGCGUAAAGCGUGCGUAGGCGGCUUAUUAAGUCGGAUGUGAAAUCCCCGAGCUUAACUUGGGAAUUGCAUUCGAUACUGGUGAGCUAGAGUAUGGGAGAGGAUGGUAGAAUUCCGGGUGUAGCGGUGAAAUGCGUAGAGAUCUGGAGGAAUACCGAUGGCGAAGGCCGCCAUCUGGCCUAAUACUGACGCUGAGGUACGAAAGCAUGGGGAGCACACAGGAUUAGAUACCCUGGUAGUCCAUGCCGUACACGAUGUCUACUAGCCUUUGGGGCCUUUGAGGCUUUAGUGGCGCAUCUAACGCGAUAAGUAGACCGCCGGGGGAGUACGGUCGCAAGACUAACACUCAUAUGAAUUGACGGGCGCCCGCACAAGCGGUGGAGCAUGUGGUUUAAUUCGAUGCAACGCGGAGAAACUUACCUGGCCGUGACAUACUAGAAACUUUCCAGAGAUGGAUUGGUGCCCUCGGGAAUCUAGAUACGGGUGCUGCAGGGGUUUCUCCGCUCGUGUCCGGGAAUGUUGGGUUAAUCCCGCACCAGGGGCACCCUUUUUCUUCUUUGCCGCCUUUUUGAGGGGAAUUUUAGGAAACCGCCGCCGACAAACGGAGGAAGGGGGGGG